GAAUGGCACAGUACACGUGAGGAAAGAAGAAAAACUGGAAAAUGGCUUUGGGGUUUACUGUAGCAGCAUCAUCUCCAAAUUCGAAUUUCUUAAUUUCUCCCCAAAAAUGUCAAUUGAGCAUACCAUUGUAAUCAUCAAACAUCAUACAACAACAAUCCAAACCCUAUUUUCAUUAAUUUGAACUACACAACAAGAAAUCACAGGAAACAUUUUCAAACAUCAAACUUUAUCUCAUCAUAUCUUCAUAGACAAGCAAUCAUUUUCAAAAAGGAGAGCAUCAUGGUACUCAGCAUUGAAAGACCUAUUCAAAACAUGUAAUAAUU
Molecule: long non-coding RNA, 323 nt
Filed under: Lathyrus oleraceus (garden pea)
Lineage: Eukaryota; Viridiplantae; Streptophyta; Magnoliopsida; Fabales; Fabaceae
Description: Pisum sativum (pea) long non-coding RNA (PSAT_LNC010836)
Source: RNAcentral